Melozone crissalis (California towhee) is the source of this 420-nucleotide long non-coding RNA. RefSeq lists it as uncharacterized. The transcript has 3 exons. The record is from RefSeq and is a predicted model, not a curated record. NCBI's taxonomy places the organism in Eukaryota, Metazoa, Chordata, Aves, Passeriformes, Passerellidae.
UGUAGCUGGCAAGUGAGGCUCAGGAUCUCUGACAGCCCUUCUAAAGCACUUCCAGAGGGUAGCACGUUACCUCUCAGAUCUGAAAUGGCAUGAGGCACCCAAGUUUCAGAGAACCACCAAACAACAUCAAGAUUCUUACCCAAACUCCAAUGCAAGAUUUUUCAAAGAGGAAGAGUGAGGAAAUACUGAUCAGGCUCCAACACUGUGAGAUGACAUGCCUUGACAGGUACAGGCCACCAUUAAGGAUGAUGCAUUCCUUUUGUUAUCUGACAGAAAUAUUGCAAUAAUCUCUGCUAAAAAAUGUUAAAAGCAAAUCCUGUGACACUUCUCCAAAUUCUGAAGGAAUGAGAAUGUAACUGAAAUGUACCUCUAAUAUUAGGAUAUGAAACUCUGUUCUCAAAUGUCAAUAGCUGCAGGCUA